Picea glauca (white spruce) is the source of this 129-nucleotide non-coding RNA. The record is from Rfam. Lineage: Eukaryota; Viridiplantae; Streptophyta; Pinopsida; Pinales; Pinaceae.
UCUUGUGUACAUGCCUACAAAAUAUCAUUAAUCCAUUGGAUCCUAAUAGAACUCCAUAGAUAAGCAUACUUGGGAUAGAGUAGUACUGGGAUGGGUAAUUUCCCAGGAAGUCCUAGUGUUUUACAUGCC